GUGGGGGAGGAAUGUCUUUGGAUUGUAAACCCCUUUUCUCAGGGAAGAAGCUCUGACGGUACCUGAGGAAUCAGCAUCGGCUAACUCCGUGCCAGCAGCCGCGGUAAGACGGAGGAUGCAAGCGUUAUCCGGAAUUAUUGGGCGUAAAGCGUCCGUAGUCGGUUUAUCAAGUCUGCCGUUAAAGACUGCAGCUUAACUGUGGGCGAGCGGUGGAAACUGAUGAACUAGAGUACGGUAGGGUUAGAGGGAAUUCCCAGUGUAGCGGUGAAAUGCGUAGAUAUUGGGAAGAACACCAGUGGCGAAGGCGCUCUACUGGGCCGUAACUGACGCUGAGGGACGAAAGCUAGGGGAGCGAAAGGGAUUAGAUACCCCUGUAGUCCUAGCUGUAAACGAUGGAUACUAGGUGUUGGAUGUAUCGACCCAUUCAGUACCGUAGCCAACGCGA
This 445-nucleotide ribosomal RNA is filed under the name uncultured cyanobacterium. RNAcentral's name for it is "bacterial SSU rRNA". It matches the Rfam family "Bacterial small subunit ribosomal RNA", at positions 401 to 860 of the family's 1533-position model. Lineage: Bacteria; Bacillati; Cyanobacteriota. The record is from RNAcentral.